GUGGGGAAUCUUGCGCAAUGGGCGAAAGCCUGACGCAGCCAUGCCGCGUGAAUGAUGAAGGUCUUAGGAUUGUAAAAUUCUUUCACCAGGGACGAUGAUGACGGUACCCGGAGAAGAAGCUCUGGCUAACUUCGUGCCAGCAGCCGCGGUAAUACGAAGGGGGCUAGCGUUGCUCGGAAUUACUGGGCGUAAAGGGCGCGUAGGCGGACAGCUUAGUCAGAGGUGAAAGCCCAGGGCUCAACCUUGGAAUUGCCUUUGAUACUGGCUGUCUUGAGUUUGGGAGAGGUGAGUGGAACUCCGAGUGUAGAGGUGAAAUUCGUAGAUAUUCGGAAGAACACCAGUGGCGAAGGCGACUCACUGGCCCAAUACUGACGCUGAGGCGCGAAAGCGUGGGGAGCAAACAGGAUUAGAAACCCGUGUAGUCC
This 425-nucleotide ribosomal RNA is filed under the name uncultured bacterium. Its description in RNAcentral is "partial 16S ribosomal RNA". It matches the Rfam family "Bacterial small subunit ribosomal RNA", at positions 354 to 796 of the family's 1533-position model. The record is from RNAcentral.